Molecule: transfer RNA, 73 nt
Filed under: Asterionella formosa
Lineage: Eukaryota; Bacillariophyta; Fragilariophyceae; Tabellariales; Tabellariaceae
Description: tRNA-Ile
Rfam family: tRNA
About the family: Transfer RNA (tRNA) molecules are approximately 80 nucleotides in length. Their secondary structure includes four short double-helical elements and three loops (D, anti-codon, and T loops). Further hydrogen bonds mediate the characteristic L-shaped molecular structure. tRNAs have two regions of fundamental functional importance: the anti-codon, which is responsible for specific mRNA codon recognition, and the 3' end, to which the tRNAs corresponding amino acid is attached (by aminoacyl-tRNA synthetases). tRNAs cope with the degeneracy of the genetic code in two manners: having more than one tRNA (with a specific anti-codon) for a particular amino acid; and 'wobble' base-pairing, i.e. permitting non-standard base-pairing at the 3rd anti-codon position.
Source: RNAcentral
AAGCUUGUAGCUUAGUGGUAAGAGCAUGUGCCUGAUAAGCGCAAGGUCAGUAGUUCGAGUCUACUUAAGCUUA